CCCUUAGACGUUCUGGGCCGCACGCGCGCUACACUGACCAGUGCAACAAGCAUCCGUCCUUGGCCGACAGGCCCGGGCAAUCUUUGAACGCUGGUCGUGAUGGGGAUAGACUUUUGCAAUUUUUGGUCUUCAACGAGGAAUUCCUAGUAAACGCAAGUCAUCAACUUGCAUUGAUUACGUCCCUGCCCUUUGUACACACCGCCGUCGCACCUACCGAUUGAAUGGUCCGGUGAAGCCUCCGGAUUGGCGCGCACCUCGGUGCCGCCGAGAAGUUGGCUAAACCUUACCAUUUAGAGGAAGGUGAAGUCGUAACA
This 314-nucleotide ribosomal RNA is filed under the name uncultured eukaryote. RNAcentral's name for it is "partial 18S ribosomal RNA". It matches the Rfam family "Eukaryotic small subunit ribosomal RNA", at positions 1470 to 1796 of the family's 1831-position model. The record is from RNAcentral.